RNAcentral lists this ribosomal RNA (1014 nucleotides) under Halopelagius longus. Its description in RNAcentral is "bacterial SSU rRNA". It matches the Rfam family "Archaeal small subunit ribosomal RNA", at positions 193 to 1204 of the family's 1478-position model. The record is from RNAcentral. Lineage: Archaea; Methanobacteriati; Methanobacteriota; Halobacteria; Halobacteriales; Haloferacaceae.
GUUCCGACGCUGCAGGAUGCGGCUGCGGUCGAUUAGGUAGACGGUGGGGUAACGGCCCACCGUGCCGAUAAUCGGUACGGGUUGUGAGAGCAAGAGCCCGGAGACGGAAUCUGAGACAAGAUUCCGGGCCCUACGGGGCGCAGCAGGCGCGAAACCUUUACACUGCACGCAAGUGCGAUAAGGGGACUCCGAGUGCGAGGGCAUAUAGUCCUCGCUUUUCUGUACCGUAGGAAGGUACAGGAAUAAGGGCUGGGCAAGACCGGUGCCAGCCGCCGCGGUAAUACCGGCAGCCCGAGUGAUGACCGAUUUUAUUGGGCCUAAAGCGUCCGUAGCUGGCCAAGCAAGUCUGUCGGGAAAUCCACUCGCUCAACGAGUGGGCGUCCGGCGGAAACUCCUUGGCUUGGGACCGGAAGGCUCGAGGGGUACGUCUGGGGUAGGAGUGAAAUCCUGUAAUCCUGGACGGACCACCGAUGGCGAAAGCACCUCGAGAAGACGGAUCCGACAGUGAGGGACGAAAGCUAGGGUCUCGAACCGGAUUAGAUACCCGGGUAGUCCUAGCUGUAAACGAUGUUCGCUAGGUGUGGCACAGGCUACGAGCCUGUGCUGUGCCGUAGGGAAGCCGAGAAGCGAACCGCCUGGGAAGUACGUCCGCAAGGAUGAAACUUAAAGGAAUUGGCGGGGGAGCACUACAACCGGAGGAGCCUGCGGUUUAAUUGGACUCAACGCCGGACAUCUCACCAGCCCCGACUACAGUAAUGACGGCCAGGUUGAUGACCUUGCCACGAGCUGUAGAGAGGAGGUGCAUGGCCGCCGUCAGCUCGUACCGUGAGGCGUCCUGUUAAGUCAGGCAACGAGCGAGACCCGCACUCCUAAUUGCCAGCAACAGUUUCGACUGGUUGGGUACAUUAGGAGGACUGCCGCUGCCAAAGCGGAGGAAGGAACGGGCAACGGUAGGUCAGUAUGCCCCGAAUGGGCUGGGCUACACGCGGGCUACAAUGGUCGAGACAAUGGGUU